Molecule: transfer RNA, 67 nt
Filed under: Palaeocimbex sp. CSCS-Hym-MC0161
Lineage: Eukaryota; Metazoa; Arthropoda; Insecta; Hymenoptera; Cimbicidae
Description: tRNA-Asn
Source: RNAcentral
UUAAUUGAAGCCAAAAAAGAGGCAUAUUAUUGUUAAUAAUAUUAAUGAAAAAAUUUUUCCAAUUAAA